This 241-nucleotide long non-coding RNA is filed under the name Panax ginseng (ginseng). RNAcentral's name for it is "long non-coding RNA (PGIN_LNC004214)". The record is from RNAcentral. Lineage: Eukaryota; Viridiplantae; Streptophyta; Magnoliopsida; Apiales; Araliaceae.
UUGGAAAUAAACAGUACAAACAAGCCGUCUAGCCUGAUCUAGGUAUUCCAGCUUUGAUCAUUAAUAAGGCCAGGAAUGGUCCAAAUUAAGAAAGGCCAGGCCAGGCCGUAUGACUGAUCAAAAACUUGGGUCUGAAGAGGCUUGGCCAACCCUAAUUCAGUCCAAGCCCUUACUCUCCUCUAGAUAACAAAGGAAUGACAAAAUUACAUUGUUAAUUGUUAAUUAAUAUAGGACUUUAAAA